This is a ribosomal RNA of 207 nucleotides. It matches the Rfam family "Bacterial small subunit ribosomal RNA", at positions 568 to 774 of the family's 1533-position model.
UGCGCAGGCGGGACUGCAAGUUGGAUGUGAAAUUUCGAGGCUUAACCUCGAACCUGCAUCCAAAACUGUAGUUCUUGAGUGAAGUAGAGGUAGGCGGAAUUCCGAGUGUAGCGGUGAAAUGCGUAGAUAUUCGGAGGAACACCAGUGGCGAAGGCGGCCUACUGGGCUUUAACUGACGCUGAGGCACGAAAGCAUGGGUAGCAAACA